Molecule: long non-coding RNA, 364 nt
Organism: Salvelinus fontinalis (brook trout)
Lineage: Eukaryota; Metazoa; Chordata; Actinopteri; Salmoniformes; Salmonidae
Exons: 2
Source: RefSeq, a predicted model, not a curated record
GUUUACCUUCAGCCUAAUGCCCUGAUAGAUGGUUUACCUUCAGCCUAAUGCCCUGAUAGAUGGUUUACCUUCAGCCUAAUGCCCUGAUAGAUAGUUUACCUUCAGCCUAAUGCCCUGAUAGAUAGUUUACCUUUAGCCUAAUGCCCUGAUAGAUGGUUUACCUUUAGCCUAAUGCCCUGAUAGAUAGUUUACCUUCAGCCUAAUGCCCUGAUAGAUAGUUUACCUUCAGCCUAAUGCCCUGAUAGAUAGUUUACCUUCAGCCUAAUGCCCUAAAACAUGGUUUACCUUCAGCCUAAUGCCCUGAUAGAUGGUUUACCUUCAGCCUAAUGCCCUGAUAGAUGGUUUACCUUCAGCCUAAUGCCCU